UACGUAGGGGGCAAGCGUUGUCCGGAUUUAUUGGGCGUAAAGAGCUCGUAGGUGGUUCGGUAAGUCGGAUGUGAAAUCUCCAGGCUCAACCUGGAGGGGUCAUUCGAUACUGCCGUGACUAGAGGUCGGUAGGGGAGUGUGGAAUUCCUGGUGGAGCGGUGAAAUGCGCAGAUAUCAGGAGGAACACCCGUAGCGAAGGCGGCACUCUGGGCCGAUACUGACACUGAGGAGCGAAAGCGUGGGGAGCGAACAGGAUUAGAUACCCUGGUAGUCCACGCCGUAAACGUUGGGCACUAGGUGUGGGACUCUAUCGACGGGUUCCGUGCCGUAGCUAACGCAUUAAGUGCCCCGCCUGGGGAGUACGGCCGCAAGGCUAAA
This 378-nucleotide ribosomal RNA is filed under the name uncultured bacterium. Its description in RNAcentral is "bacterial SSU rRNA". It matches the Rfam family "Bacterial small subunit ribosomal RNA", at positions 524 to 898 of the family's 1533-position model. The record is from RNAcentral.